Molecule: ribosomal RNA, 253 nt
Filed under: uncultured bacterium
Lineage: Bacteria
Description: partial 16S ribosomal RNA
Rfam family: Bacterial small subunit ribosomal RNA
Source: RNAcentral
UACGGAGGGUGCAAGCGUUAUCCGGAAUUACUGGGCGUAAAGGGCUCGUAGGCGGCCAACUAAGUCAGACGUGAAAUCCCUCGGCUUAACCGGGGAACUGCGUCUGAUACUGGAUGGCUUGAGUUUGGGAGAGGGAUGCGGAAUUCCAGGUGUAGCGGUGAAAUGCGUAGAUAUCUGGAGGAACACCGGUGGCGGAGGCGGCAUCCUGGACCAACACUGACGCUGAGGAGCGAAAGCCAGGGGAGCAAACGGG